Anguilla anguilla (European eel) is the source of this 1059-nucleotide long non-coding RNA. RefSeq lists it as uncharacterized. The transcript is spliced from 3 exons. NCBI's taxonomy places the organism in Eukaryota, Metazoa, Chordata, Actinopteri, Anguilliformes, Anguillidae. The record is from RefSeq and is a predicted model, not a curated record.
GCUAUGGUAGACGAAUAUGCUGCAUGCAACUUUCACCUUCAUAGAUAAUAUGUCGUUCAGUCACUUAGUUACAAUAUAUGUAAAGUUUUCAAGCGCUUUCUGCAAGACUGACAAAGGCGCGGAGACGGGACCUGAUGUUCUUGUAUUAAAACGCGCCACGACUCCACGACAGAGGGAGGGUUUCAAAAUAUUACAAACUACACGAAACACUACCAAAGGGGACGUUCAUAUCCCGUACUCCCACAAACCUUUGCAGCAGACCUUACAAUGAAAUUUAAGAAGUUUUUUUCGCGUUUCGGCGCCAUUUUCGAUUGGGCUGGAGUGUAAAAGCCUCUUUGCCCUGGAAGAAGUCCUUUGCAGGCGAGUUGAGGCCUGCUCUUAAGAUAAGAGGCCUGUGCAGGAUAGCUCCUUUUCGACGCGAGGAUUGUUUUCCAGAUUCAUCCCUCAAGCACGUUCUGAUGGUUUACGCAACAGUGUGACAGCGGGGACGUGUGACAUCGAGUUGACGGUGAGGGUUGUCAUGUUUCCUUUACGAUGAAUUCCUCCGGCAUCAGAAAAGUAGUAGUCUGAAAACGAUCAACAGCCGCAUUUAAAAUUUGUUUAAAAAACAGUUUGAAAGAAUAAACCUGAGUGUUUUAGCAGGUUGAUUAUUCAAUAAAAGUGCAUUCAUAGUGUCUCAAUAUGUAUUGGUUGUUGUGAUCAGAGGGCAAGUGUUCAUUCUGACAUAUGCACUGGUAAAAAUAAAUUACAGAACAAAUCAAUUAGUGCAUAUGCUGUUAAUUUUGCUGUGACUAUCUUAGAUACAUCUAGAGGCAAUUUGACUAUGGUUCCUCUUACCAGAAUUGGGCUGAGUUGUGAACUGUAGUCAUAGCACUGUACUUUAUAGUGUAUGCCUGCAGCAACACCCUGUACCAAGAGGUGUAUAGACUUACAGUGAAGUACACUGGGACUUACUUUAAUAUGCCCCGGAGAUUAAUGGUUCACAUAAAUCAAAGCAAAGCAAAGUUUACUUUGUGCUGUCUCUCUCAUAAUAAAAAUAAAUAAGAAUGCUCUUUGUUA